This 253-nucleotide ribosomal RNA is filed under the name uncultured bacterium. RNAcentral describes it as "partial 16S ribosomal RNA". It matches the Rfam family "Bacterial small subunit ribosomal RNA", at positions 524 to 776 of the family's 1533-position model. The record is from RNAcentral.
UACAGAGGGUGCAAACGUUGUUCGGAAUUACUGGGCGUAAAGCGCGUGUAGGCGGUCUCGUAAGUCGGGUGUGAAAGCCCUGGGCUCAACCCAGGAAGUGCACUCGAAACUGCGAGGCUAGAGUACUGGAGAGGUUGGUGGAAUUCUCGGUGUAGAGGUGAAAUUCGUAGAUAUCGAGAGGAACACCGGUGGCGAAGGCGGCCAACUGGACAGAUACUGACGCUGAGACUCGAAAGCGUGGGGAGCAAACAGG